KCUCAGGAUGAACGCUGGCGGCGUGCCUAUCACAUGCAAGUCGAGCGAAGCACUGUGCUUAGAUUCUUCGAUGAAGAGGAUUGUGACUGAGCGGCGGACGGGUGAGUAACGCGUGGGUAACCUGCCUCAUACAGGGGGAUAACAGUUAGAAAUGACUGCUAAUACCGCAUAAGACCACAGCACCGCAUGGUGCGGGGGUAAAAACUCCGGUGGUAUGAGAUGGAUCCGCGUCUGAUUAGCUAGUUGGUAAGGUAACGGCUUACCAAGGCGACGAUCAGUAGCCGACCUGAGAGGGUGACCGGCCACAUUGGGACUGAGACACGGCCCAAACUCCUACGGGAGGCAGCAGUGGGGAAUAUUGCACAAUGGGGGAAACCCUGAUGCAGCGACGCCGCGUGAGCGAAGAAGUAUUUCGGUAUGUAAAGCUCUAUCAGCAGGGAAGAAAAUGACGGUACCUGACUAAGAAGCACCGGCUAAAUACGUGCCAGCAGCCGCGGUAAUACGUAUGGUGCAAGCGUUAUCCGGAUUUACUGGGUGUAAAGGGAGCGUAGACGGAUGGGCAAGUCUGAUGUGAAAACCCGGGGCUCAACCCCGGGGACUCCAUUGGAAACUGUUCAUCUAGAGUGCUGGAGAGGUAAGUGGAAUUCCUAGUGUAGCGGUGAAAUGCGUAGAUAUUAGGAGGAACACCAGUGGCGAAGGCGGCUUACUGGACAGUAACUGACGUUGAGGCUCGAAAGCGUGGGGAGCAAACAGGAUUAGAUACCCUGGUAGUCCACGCCGUAAACGAUGACUACUAGGUGUCGGGUGGCAAAGCCAUUCGGUGCCGCAGCAAACGCAAUAAGUAGUCCACCUGGG
This 855-nucleotide ribosomal RNA is filed under the name uncultured Bacillota bacterium. RNAcentral describes it as "bacterial SSU rRNA". It matches the Rfam family "Bacterial small subunit ribosomal RNA", at positions 22 to 877 of the family's 1533-position model. Lineage: Bacteria; Bacillati; Bacillota. The record is from RNAcentral.